CCGCGUGAAUGAUGAAGGCCUUAGGGUUGUAAAAUUCUUUCAGCAGGGAAGAUAAUGACGGUACCUGCAGAAGAAGCCCCGGCUAACUCCGUGCCAGCAGCCGCGGUAAUACGGAGGGGGCUAGCGUUGUUCGGAAUUACUGGGCGUAAAGCGCUCGUAGGCGGAUUGGUCAGUCAGGGGUGAAAGCCCGGAGCUCAACUCCGGAACUGCCUUUGAUACUGCCAGUCUUGAGUUCGGGAGAGGUGAGCGGAAUACCGAGUGUAGAGGUGAAAUUCGUAGAUAUUCGGUGGAACACCAGAGGCGAAGGCGGCUCACUGGACCGAUACUGACGCUGAGGAGCGAAAGCGUGGGGAGCAAACAGGAUUAGAUACCCUGGUAGUCCACGCCGUAAACGAUGAGAGCUAGUUGUCUGGCAGCAUGCUGUUAGGUGACGCAGCUAACGCAUUAAGCUCUCCGCCUGGGGAGUACGGCCGCAAGGUUAAAA
This 484-nucleotide ribosomal RNA is filed under the name Maricaulis sp. RNAcentral's name for it is "bacterial SSU rRNA". It matches the Rfam family "Bacterial small subunit ribosomal RNA", at positions 397 to 899 of the family's 1533-position model. Lineage: Bacteria; Pseudomonadati; Pseudomonadota; Alphaproteobacteria; Maricaulales; Maricaulaceae. The record is from RNAcentral.